This is an RNA transcript of Papaver somniferum (opium poppy), 1385 nucleotides long. It is a transcript of the gene named tubulin-folding cofactor B-like, with no coding region annotated. The transcript is spliced from 10 exons. The record is from RefSeq and is a predicted model, not a curated record. Lineage: Eukaryota; Viridiplantae; Streptophyta; Magnoliopsida; Ranunculales; Papaveraceae.
CGGUAAAAUCAAAUCUAGGGCUUCACAGUUCAGACUUUAGUAGAAACAAACAUUUCUUCUUCUUAAAUUUCCACUCUCUCUGAAGAAGAACUUCAUAAACACAACAUAAAUUACUCCAAUCAGUGAGAUUAUUAUUGGAUCAGAUGAGAAGCAUAUUCGGAUGAUAAAUUGAUUAAGAAGGUGGAUUUGGUCGAGGGAAUCAUCAUCUUCUAGUGUUGUUGGUCUCAAAAAGCAAAUUUGUAGAUCAUUUUUUUUUCUUGGUCAUAUUUCAGUAAUGGCGAAUCUAUUACAAAUUCCAAGUGAUGAUUCGGUUCUUCUCCGCGUAAGUCACUCCAAUCUUAAAAGCUUCUCUGCAGAUGUUCGCUUCUCUCUUCAGAUGACUGUGGAAUCUGUGAAAGAGAAGCUCUGGAAAAAAUCUGGUACUUCUGUUGAUUCGAUGUCCCUUGAGCUUUUUGAUGAUACAGGUGCUAAAGUUUCAGACUUAAAUGACAAUUCCAAACCCUUCGGAUUUUACUCUCCACAUGAUGGGUAUCGAUUGAAUAUAUUAGACCUGGAUCCCUCAUCGGUUACAGCUGGUGGCUGGCUGGAAGAUACUUCACUGGUGGAGAAGUACUCCAUUUCUGAGGAAGCCUAUGAUAAACUUGGUGGUACUUUUAGAAAAUAUAAGGAAAAAUUCGCUUCUCAGAACCCAUCAGUUGUUGAAAAUAAAAUUACAGAUAACUACAUGGAAGAUCUCUGUGCAAACAUCAAGAAAGUUACUUUGGUUAUAUUGAUGAUGAUUAAAUGGCCCAACACUUUUCAAAGCUGUAAGAGUUCUGUUGCAUGUUGGUUUAAGUGGAGGAUGCUAACGAGUAAGGACCACUCUUCUUUCUUGUUGGAGAUAGGUGUGAAGUUGAACCAGGAGAAAAAAGAGGGGUUGUUAAAUUUGUAGGUAGAGCUGAAAAUAUUGCACCUGGUUUCUGGAUUGGAGUUCAAUAUGAUGAGCCGCUGGGAAAACAUGAUGGAAUGGUGCGAGGAAAGCGGUACUUCACGUGCCCCUCACUUCAUGGUGCAAUGGUCAGACCUGAAAAAGUAAAGGUUGGUGACUAUCCAGAGAAAGAUCCAUUUGAAGAAGAUGAAAUAUGAACCUGCUGUUAGAAGAAUCGAAAGGUUCUAAUGUGUACUGGUUUGGAAUUCUCUCUGCCUAUCAACGUUUAUAUGAUUGUCUGUAAGUUAGGCUGUAACCUUUACUGUGUUAUUAUCAAAAUAGCUGUUUGCAGCUGAAACUACCAUGGGUACUAGAAAUUUCAUCUAGUUUUCGUUACUAUCUUUGAGUUCAUCACCCAUCUUAAUUGGAAGUGGAAACGUAUUAGAAGACAAAUAGAAGUAUAGUACUUGAUCUCUCA